AUAAAUAUUGACACAAGACUAUAACAAUGAAUAAAGAGAAAGAAGAUUGUCGUAAUCUUCACAAAUAUUUGAAGAUUUUGGUGAGUAUGUUAACCAAAGGAAAGGUGUAUAUACCAAGGUAAUAAUCCAGUCUUAAAAGAUUCACUUCUUGAUACUUUUCUUUGUACAUACAAUUUAAAGGAAAUCGUUCUUAAAAUAUUUGUAUAAUAAAAUCAAAUGGUGAAUUGUUGCUAAUCUGAAGUGGUUUAAAAUGUUUUUGAUGUUAGGUUUUUUUUUUUUAUAUAAGAUUGACUGUUUAUUGGCACUGAUUAGAAUAAUGAACUUGUAUACCUUGUUAGAUGUUCAGAAAUAUCUGUGCUAUAAGGACUCUCAAAUCUUAAAGGUUUUCUUUAUUUUUGUGUAAAUGGGUUUUUAUCACAUUGUUUUUUGUUUAAAUUGUUUUACAUUUGUCAUUUCAGGGUCUUUUCAUAGCUAUUCAAAUUUCAAAAAAUUCAAUGAAGUUUUUGACAAAAUUAUUUAUGUCAUUACCUUUAUCAAGCAAAAAAACAAACACACCUCAAAACUAUCUACCCCACUGUCAAUAACUAGAAAUAACAAAUAUCUUUAUUUUUAAUUUACUGUGAUAAUAAUGAAAGUGUUACUCUUCACCUUUUCUAGUUUAUUCAAAGUUCUGACCAUAUUUCAAAUUGUUUUAUCAAACCAACCUGUUCAAACGGUCGGAAAUUUGAACAAACUGCUGUUAAAAUAAACCCAUAUUACGUGAAGAGCAAUACUUACAGUAAACUCACAGUAACAUGGACUCAGACCAACUCUUGCAAUGUAUUGGUUACUACUAAUAUGCAGGUCUUUCUUUAUGUUUACCUGUCAACAAAUGUUGUUUGAAAUAUUCAAUGCUUCACAAACCUUUUCAGUAACAGUUGAAAAAGACUAUAGCUGUCAUUGAAAGUUAAGAUUAGCCUUUUUUUAAAACACAAAAAUAAUGGGAUUAUCAAAUUAUUAGCUGUUGGCAUCUUGGCAGCCAUAUGAAUCACUGAAGAUUGGGUCUCUUUGAUCUGCUUUGUAAGUAUUAAACGAUUUUCAUCUCAGUCACUUGUAUAUAACUUUAAAAUACUGAUAACUUUUUCAAAUACCAUUGUCCUUAGGUGUGGCCUCCAUGUGCCAAAUCAAAAACUUAUGUCAAAGAAAAAAAGUCUUGUUUCAGAUACCUUCUUUUGAUAAUAGAACUCAGUGCCAAAUAUCAUAAGUCAGUUUCAAAAGAUAAAAAAGAUCAAAAAGUUAUGGCCUGACAAGGUUUUGUGAGUAACAGAAGAACUACAUUAGAAGAAGCACUAUUGCAUAAAACAUCAUGAUUCCCAUAAUUCUGAUCCACGCACAUCAUCAAUUUUGAUUAUUGCCCGGUUCAUCAUUGCUAUUGUUGUAGAAUGGCCAAAAAUGGGAGAACAAACAUAGCGAUCUCAUGAAAAUAUGCAUACAGCUAUAUGAAUCAAUAUGUAUUUUCUAGUAAGAUACAUCUUGCUUUUAUCUUGGUCUAGGAUUGGGACCACAACCUCAAAUUUGUCUAUGUUGUUCAUUAUUAAUGUCCAUAAGUAGGAAUUACAAAAGUGGAACUUGUUAUAGACAACAUAAUCAAUCAUUAUACAUUGUACAUUACUCCAAUGCAAUGUGAGAAGGAUACGAUUUAGUCUGUUUAAACUUUGCUGUUUUGACAAUUGUCUAUCUUGAACUAUUUUUACUUUUAUUACACUAAAAAUACCUUAAAAUAUUGUAUCAAUGUCAUAAAAUAUAUUUUAAACAAGACUCACAAUUACAAUCAUAUUGAAACUAAGAUAUUUAAUAUGUGCAAACAGUUCAAGCAGAAAACUAUUUCAUAAUUAAUAUCAUUUCAUAAAUCUGUAAUUACAUUCCAUGACAAAACCAGUGAGUUGUUCAAGUUCAAAUUUGAGUUUUUCUGUAAAUUUUUAAAAAUCAUACUUCUAAUAUUACUUUCUUUUUUGCCUGAAUUGCAUGUCCUGUUAAAAGUUUAAUCAUGAACUGAUAUCGCUGAAUAGAGAAUAUUGAGUUUUUCUGUCAAUUUCUGAAAACCAUCCUUCUAAUUUUGCUUUUUAUUUUUUGCCUGAAUUGCAUGUCCCUUUAUAAGGUAAAAUCAUAAGCUGAUAUCGCUGAAUAGAGAAAGUUGGAUCAAAUCAUCAUUUUGAAGGGGAUUUAUUUCAUUUAUCAAAUAACAAUUUGAUGUAGUACCAAGAUGAAGAGCAAUAUUUGUUCAGUUAUAUUGACUGGUUACUUCACCUCAGUUAAAAUAUCUGACCUCAUAAAAAUCUCCCCAAACAACAGACCCUAUCUGAUAAAUUUGAAGAAGUUACAAUUUUUUGUUGCCAUUUACUGAAUUGAAACAAAAGAGAAAUUUAGACCAGAUAAAUCCUAUAAGGCUGUCACUUGGAAAACAAGAGGGUUAAAUAUUAAAACAUUCAACUCAGCGGGAAUAUAAAGGCUAAAGUUCAAGUAGAAAGUUGAGAGGCUUUUCUUUAAACACCUGCAUUAAUGCUGCACUCAUGGUCCAAUUCUUCAAAGAACAUUAUUUCCAUGCUACAAAUCCUCAAGAAGAUUCCCCUAUAUGAUUUGAUCUCCUAAUAGCUUUCAAACUGUUUUGGGAUUUUAUAACCCACAUAUUAGAGUAAUCUGGGUUUAAUAAUAAGUUUGAAAGAAUAAAAUUGUCAUCUGUUUCAGUCAAGAGUUCACAAAUUAAGGGCAAAAACUCAUAUUUAUGUUAAAAACAUAAGAUAUUAAAGGAAAUAUCUUAAAUUUAAGUAAACUUGGUCAUUACUUAAUGGUAGUUGGAGUCAUCAACCUAAAGAUUAUACUGUUAAAAUCUGAAGAGAUAAAGAUAAAAUGUGUCAUUUCUAAUAUCACCAAACAGAGUAUUACAGAAUAUUAAUCUUGUCAGAUGUUUACUGAAAGCUUGAAAGCAUUGUCAGAUUGAUGAUAAUAUUUUCCUGGAAAUAUAUCAUACUUUUCUUUCAAAAAAAUAUUCUUUGAUAGUUUAGUACAAUAUUUUGAGAAAAAUUGGUGGCAAUUCUAUGAGCACAACUUAUCUUUAAAAAAAAUCGUGUGUCAGUUCCUGAAAAUAAAACCAUUUCAGUGUGUUGUGUUCAAAUUUUAUAUUAUUAUUUUUCUUUUCAACCAAUUAACAAACUUGUGACUACAAUGUCCAGUUAGUUUAUGAUGUGUCACGUCAAGAUUAAAAUCAUUAAAAGUUAACUCCUUAUUUGUUGUUGAAUUAAUAAAAGAUAAGAUUCACACACAUUGAACAACCAAACCACUGAAUUCACUAGACUAUAUAUCCUCGCCACAAGUUAGCCAAUUACACAGAGUUGUUACAAUAAUAAUCAAAUUUCCCCUUGUUCUGUAAAAUCACUAUGAUAACAAUGCAUUCUCAAUUUACACCUUACUAUAAUGUGGCUAUUAACAAACUAGUACUAUUUCUACAGAUUGGUCGAUUUCCAUAACACUUACUGACCAAAUGUUUAUAUUAUGUGUGAAAUCAAUUACAGGCAUUGAAAAAUUAUUUAUUGCAAAAACACUUUAAUUUGUAGGCAUAAAUUUAAGUUUUAGUUCAGGAAUACAACAGUAUGAUUUCAAAUGUUGUUUAAAAACUAUAAAGUUUUAAAUAUUUGAGAACAAGAGGUCAUAUCUUUAGUUGGCAUCCCCUUGCUCUCAAUCUGAUGACUAAAACUGGUAUUUGUUGCUAAGUAAAAUACAUGUACUGUGGAUUCAUUUAUUUUCUUGUGCAUCAAUUUUCGUGGAUGAGAGAAACUUGAGAGUUUGUGCAGAUUUAAUUUCGUGGUAUUGCCGAAGUUUGCAUACAAGCCUUUAGAAAAUUUGUUUUUCGUUGAUAAAUUUUGUUGUUCACCUGUACCAACUAAAUCCAUGAAAAUCUGUAUCCAACAAAUAAUAAUGGAUCCACAGUAGUAGUAUUGCAAAAAUGGUUUGAUACAUGUGAAAAUAAUAAUGUGUCCUGGUAGUGUAACUGUUUUUUUACAGAAUGCAAUAUUUAUACCAUGGAAGUAAAAUGAGUAUAAUACUUCCAUGUUUAUACAAAGCAAGGUCACUUAAUAAAUGUAUAUGCCUUCAACUCCUAGGGGUAUAAAUGUGCAUUUCAUAAAUAAACCAGGUGCUCCGCAGGGCGCAGCUUUAUACGACCGCAGAGGUCGAACCCUGAACAGUUGGGGCAAGUAUGGACAAAACAUUCAAGCGUGAUACAGCUCUGAAUUUGGAUUGUGAUCAAAUUUUUGACAUUACAUGGUUUUUUUUUACACAAAACAAAUGUCAAGAUUUUACAAAUCAAUUAAAGAUUUCUUCUUCAAACUUUUUAAAUCUAAAAUUAAAUAGUUGACACAGAAUAGGUUUCUGACACAGAAUGAAUGUGGUCUAAUGAACUUAAAAGUUUUUUUUUUGCCUUUGAGCAAUUCACUAUGCUGUUGAAUAUUAAUCCUCUCAAAAAAAUGUUUGAAGAAAUUUUCUUUUUAUUUAUGAAAUCUGAAAUGAGAAAAAUUUAAACCUCCCCCCCCCCUUUUUUUUCACAUCCCCGUUUCCCUUUUUCCAAAACUGAUAUCAAUUCAAAUUUCUAAUGGAGUUUGCAACAAUAACUACUCUUUUAAAUACACAUCAUAAAAAUAUUAAAAUGUAAAUAAAGUGCUUGUUAUCACUGAAUGGUAAAGAUUGGUUGGUAGUAAAAGUGAAUAUACAUUGUUUAUUGUAUAAAACAAUAAAAAAAACUUCAUCAGCAACAUUUUAUAUUGGCAAAUUUCCAAUGAAGUUAUUUACAUAAAGUUAUGGCAAAUAAAAAUAGAAAAUGACAUCAUAGUCAUGUCUGGUAAAUGUCCAACAUACAUUAUCUAAAAACAUUUUAGAUAAGAUAAGGAAAAAAAGCUUCAUCAGCAACAUUUUAUGUUGGCAAAUUUCCAAUGAAGUUAUUUACAUAAAGUUAUUGGCAAAUAAAAAUAGAAAAAUGACAUCAUAGUCAUGUCUGGCAAAUUUCCAACAUAUAUUUAUCAACUACUAUUCUAUACAAAGAAAGAUAACUCCAAUUGAAAAUUAAUUGCUAUUGCACAAUAUUGUGCAAUUAGAUAUUUCUUUACUAUUGUGCAAUACUGUGCAAUUGAAAAUUUCUUGCUAUUGCACAAUACUUGAUAUGGAAUCCUGAUUUGGGACCAACUUGAAAAACUGGGCCCAUAAUCAAAAAUCAAAGUACAUAUUUAGAUAAAGCAUAUCAAAUAAAGCCCAAGAAUUUAAUUUUUGUUAAAAUCAAACUUAGUUUAAUUUUGGACCCUUUGGACCUUAAUGUAGACCAAUUUGAAAACUGGACCAAAAAUUAAGAAUCUACAUACACAGUUUAGAUUUGGCAUAUCAAAGAACCCAUUUAUUCAAUUUUUGAUGAAUCAAACAAAGUUUUAAUUUGGACCCCCAUUUGGACCAACUUGAAAACUAGGCCAAUAAUUAAAAAUCUAAGUACAUUUUUAAAUUCAGCAUAUCAAAGAACCCCAAGGAUUCAAUUUUUGUUAAAAUCAAACUAAGUUUAAUUUUGGACCCUUUGGACCUUAAUGUAGACCAAUUUGAAAACGGGACCAAAAAUUAAGAAUCUACAUACAUAGUUAGAUUCGGCAUAUCAAAGAACCCCAAUUAUUCAAUUUUUGAUGAAAUCACACAAAGUUCAAUUUGGACCCUUUGGCCCCUUAUUCCUAAACUGUUAGGACCAAAACUCCCAAAAUCAAACCCAACCUUCCUUUUAUGGUCCAUAAACCUUGUGUUUAAAUUUCAUAGAUUUCUAUUUACUUAUACUAAAGUUAUGGUGCAAAAACCAAAAUAAUGCUUAUUUGGGCCCUUUUUGGCCCCUAAUUCAAACUGUUGUGACCUCAACUCCCAAAUCAAUCCCAACCUUCCUUUUGUGGUCAUAAACCUUGUGUCAAAAUUUCAUAGAUUUCUAUUCACUUAAACUAAAGUUAUAGUGCGAAAACCAAGAAAAUGCUUAUUUGGGCCCUUUUGGCCCUAAUUCCUAAAAUGUUGGGACCAAAACUCCCAAAAUCAAUCCCAACCUUCCUUUUGUGGUCAUAAACCUUGUGUUAAAAUUUCAUUGAUUUCUAUUCAUUUUACUAAAGUUAGAGUGCGAAAACUAAAAGUAUUCGGACGACGACGACGACGAGGACGAGGACGACGACGACGCAGACGACGACGCCAACGUGAUAGCAAUAUACGACCAAAAAAUUAAAAUCUUUGCGGUCGUAUAAAAAUUAAAAAAAUUAAAAAUAUAAAAAAAAAAAAAAAUUAAAAAGUUAUCGUCAGGAAUCUGUCUGUAAUAUUUGCCACUGUAAAGCAGCAAUAAAUGAAUCGAUCAUAUCACUUUUUUUUUCUAAUUCCAGCUCAAUUCUAUUUCUGUUGAAUGUACUUUAACUCUACAUGCCUGAUAGCGGAGGACAUUUUUGUCAUACAUAGAUUGUUAUCCAUUCCCAAUGGGAUAUCUACCUUAUACCGUAACACAAAAAUUCAAAUUGGAUUGGAAAAAAUUAUGAUUGGAUGAAGGAUCAAAAGUUUUUGAUGGGUUAAUCACACACAUUAAUCUGUCAUUACGGUAAUACCUUGGAUCAACCAUUCACUCUGGGUAAUAUUGAUUGGAUUGUGACUUUGUGAGGAUCCUACAGGACAAACCGACAGGCCAAAUGUUAUUACUUCAUAGUGGAACGGAAUCAAGACACAUAUUAAUACAAAAUAUAUAUUAAAAUCGAC
RNAcentral lists this long non-coding RNA (6777 nucleotides) under Mytilus galloprovincialis (Mediterranean mussel). Lineage: Eukaryota; Metazoa; Mollusca; Bivalvia; Mytilida; Mytilidae. The record is from RNAcentral.